Molecule: ribosomal RNA, 326 nt
Filed under: uncultured eukaryote
Lineage: Eukaryota
Description: partial 18S ribosomal RNA
Rfam family: Eukaryotic small subunit ribosomal RNA
Source: RNAcentral
CCCUUAGAUGUUCUGGGCCGCACGCGCGUUACACUGAUGCAUUCAACGAGUUUUUUCCUUGGCCGAGAGGCCUGGGCAAUCUUUUGAACGUGCAUCGUGAUAGGGAUAGAUUAUUGCAAUUAUUAAUCUUGAACGAGGAAUUCCUAGUAAACGCAGUUCAUCAAACUGCAUUGAUUACGUCCCUGCCCUUUGUACACACCGCCCGUCGCACCUACCGAUUGAAUGGUCCGGUGAAGCCUCGGGAUUGUGGCUGGUCUCCUUUAUUGGGGGUCGGUUGCGAGAACUUGUCUAAACCUUAUCAUUUAGAGGAAGGUGAAGUCGUAACA